This 253-nucleotide ribosomal RNA is filed under the name uncultured bacterium. Its description in RNAcentral is "partial 16S ribosomal RNA". It matches the Rfam family "Bacterial small subunit ribosomal RNA", at positions 524 to 776 of the family's 1533-position model. The record is from RNAcentral.
UACGUAGGGUGCGAGCGUUGUCCGGAAUUACUGGGCGUAAAGAGCUCGUAGGCGGUUUGUCGCGUCGUCUGUGAAAACCAGCAGCUCAACUGCUGGCUUGCAGGCGAUACGGGCAGACUUGAGUACUGCAGGGGAGACUGGAAUUCCUGGUGUAGCGGUGAAAUGCGCAGAUAUCAGGAGGAACACCGGUGGCGAAGGCGGGUCUCUGGGCAGUAACUGACGCUGAGGAGCGAAAGUGUGGGGAGCGAACAGG